ACUACUGACCUGUGUCUUCAGCCCCCAAGGAACACUUUGAAGAGAUGCCCACCCUUUAUAGCUCAGGCUUUCACAGCUGUCCCAUUUUAGAUUUUAAAUUUCAAAUGUGGGAAUAAUGUAAUACAACACUUUACUAGUCUAAAAACCCAGGUAGUUCAAGUCUUGGCCACUACAAAAUUUUUUUCUAAGCAGCACAGAUGUUUAAACAGCACAGCUUUUGCCUUGAAGAACUGGGAGCUAACAAAAGCUCAAGUGCAAUAGGAAGGACUCAGGGAAAACAGACCGCACAGUUUACAACGAGAAAUCUUCAGGCUCACAGGUUUGGUCCACGGUGAAGGAGCCUGUAUGCUCCCUUCUACUGGGCUGUAAGGCUGGAAAUAAAGGCAUUUGAAAGGACGAAGUCACCUCCUGGGGAGAAGAGGAAGUACCCACCAAUCUUAGGAUAUUAGUGACUAAUUGUUUUACAGACACCUUCUCCCUCUUUAGCUGGAAAGCAAAGCUUUAUGCAAAGACUGAGCCUCCGCAGGACUCUGCUUGAGCGAAAGGAUCUUUAGGAAAACAAAGAGACAGAUUAUUAAUGCUAAAAAUGUAGAUGUGGGUUUCUGCGACCAUUUCAAGCCAGGUUUGAAAUAAUGGGCUCUGACCUCUUGCUAGGAGGUUAAAAGUGAUUGAAAACUGCAAGUCUUUUGAAAUUGUCUAGGCUGGUGGCAAACCUUAAGUUUGUCAUUCUGACCUUUGCUCGUGUAAAUAUAGGCAAGUUAUUUUGGAUGGCUCUAAAAGAGGUUAUAAAAAGCAAGUUUUCAGGCUUUUGUCCUUGCGGGAAAAGUCCCCUUUUUGCUUGUGUUCGGAAUUGCCUUUCUCCGAUGGUUUUUUGUGAUUAGCACUUGUUGGACACUUAAAGCAUUUCUUAUCCGGUAGAUAUAAUUGGAUCUCCUAUGUUUUGUGUCUUCAAAUGUAUCCCUGAGUGGCCGCCUUGAGAAAGCAUUUAGUGUUUCACUUGUUAAUGGAUUUCUUUCUAUCCUGGGUUUACUUCUGAUGCAACAAUCAUCGCAGACAUUUCCAAAGUGCUUCGUGUGCUCAAACACGGCAGCAUUCUUUGUAAGAAUGGUAAGUCUGAAGCCAUCUCCCUCAUCUCACUAUGCAGCGCUCUCUGCAGUAGACUUGGUUAAGGCGGCCAAGAAGGAAUAUGGAGGGCUGCUGGAGUUGGUCCUCCUCCUAACAU
This 1222-nucleotide small RNA is filed under the name Rattus norvegicus (Norway rat). Its description in RNAcentral is "uncharacterized LOC108348786". Lineage: Eukaryota; Metazoa; Chordata; Mammalia; Rodentia; Muridae. The record is from RNAcentral.